GCAGCAGUAGGGAAUUUUCGGCAAUGGGGGCAACCCUGACCGAGCAACGCCGCGUGAAUGAAGAAGGUUUUCGGAUCGUAAAGCUCUGUUGUAAGUCAAGAACGGGUGUGAGAGUGGAAAGUUCACACUGUGACGGUAGCUUACCAGAAAGGGACGGCUAACUACGUGCCAGCAGCCGCGGUAAUACGUAGGUCCCGAGCGUUGUCCGGAUUUAUUGGGCGUAAAGCGAGCGCAGGCGGUUUGAUAAGUCUGAAGUUAAAGGCUGUGGCUCAACCAUAGUUCGCUUUGGAAACUGUCAAACUUGAGUGCAGAAGGGGAGAGUGGAAUUCCAUGUGUAGCGGUGAAAUGCGUAGAUAUAUGGAGGAACACCGGUGGCGAAAGCGGCUCUCUGGUCUGUAACUGACGCUGAGGCUCGAAAGCGUGGGGAGCGAACAGGAUUAGAUACCCUGGUAGUCCACGCCGUAAACGAUGAGUGCUAGGUGUUGGAUCCUUUCCGGGAUUCAGUGCCGCAGCUAACGCAUUAAGCACUCCGCCUGGGGAGUACGACCGCAAGGUUGAAACUCAAAGGAAUUGACGGGGGCCCGCACAAGCGGUGGAGCAUGUGGUUUAAUUCGAAGCAACGCGAAGAACCUUACCAGGUCUUGACAUCCCGAUGCUAUUUCUAGAGAUAGAAAGUUACUUCGGUACAUCGGUGACAGGUGGUGCAUGGUUGUCGUCAGCUCGUGUCGUGAGAUGUUGGGUUAAGUCCCGCAACGAGCGCAACCCCUAUUGUUAGUUGCCAUCAUUCAGUUGGGCACUCUAGCGAGACUGCCGGUAAUAAACCGGAGGAAGGUGGGGAUGACGUCAAAUCAUCAUGCCCCUUAUGACCUGGGCUACACACGUGCUACAAUGGUUGGUACAACGAGUUGCGAGUCGGUGACGGCGAGCUAAUCUCUUAAAGCCAAUCUCAGUUCGGAUUGUAGGCUGCAACUCGCCUACAUGAAGUCGGAAUCGCUAGUAAUCGCGGAUCAGCACGCCGCGGUGAAUACGUUCCCGGGCCUUGUACACACCGCCCGUCACACCACGAGAGUUUGUAACACCCGAAGUCGGUGAGGUAACCUUUGGAGCC
RNAcentral lists this ribosomal RNA (1108 nucleotides) under Streptococcus thermophilus. RNAcentral's name for it is "bacterial SSU rRNA". It matches the Rfam family "Bacterial small subunit ribosomal RNA", at positions 348 to 1450 of the family's 1533-position model. Lineage: Bacteria; Bacillati; Bacillota; Bacilli; Lactobacillales; Streptococcaceae. The record is from RNAcentral.